Molecule: ribosomal RNA, 1017 nt
Filed under: uncultured organism
Description: bacterial SSU rRNA
Rfam family: Bacterial small subunit ribosomal RNA
Source: RNAcentral
GAGGAAUAUUGGUCAAUGGACGAGAGUCUGAACCAGCCAAGUAGCGUGAAGGAUGACUGCCCUAUGGGUUGUAAACUUCUUUUAUACGGGAAUAAAGUGAGGCACGUGUGCCUUUUUGUAUGUACCGUAUGAAUAAGGAUCGGCUAACUCCGUGCCAGCAGCCGCGGUAAUACGGAGGAUCCGAGCGUUAUCCGGAUUUAUUGGGUUUAAAGGGAGCGUAGGCGGACGCUUAAGUCAGUUGUGAAAGUUUGCGGCUCAACCGUAAAAUUGCAGUUGAUACUGGGUGCCUUGAGUACAGUAGAGGCAGGCGGAAUUCGUGGUGUAGCGGUGAAAUGCUUAGAUAUCACGAAGAACUCCGAUUGCGAAGGCAGCUUGCUGGACUGUAACUGACGCUGAUGCUCGAAAGUGUGGGUAUCAAACAGGAUUAGAUACCCUGGUAGUCCACACAGUAAACGAUGAAUACUCGCUGUUUGCGAUAUACAGUAAGCGGCCAAGCGAAAGCGUUAAGUAUUCCACCUGGGGAGUACGCCGGCAACGGUGAAACUCAAAGGAAUUGACGGGGGCCCGCACAAGCGGAGGAACAUGUGGUUUAAUUCGAUGAUACGCGAGGAACCUUACCCGGGCUUGAAUUGCAACUGAAUGAUGUGGAGACAUGUCAGCCGCAAGGCAGUUGUGAAGGUGCUGCAUGGUUGUCGUCAGCUCGUGCCGUGAGGUGUCGGCUUAAGUGCCAUAACGAGCGCAACCCUUAUCGAUAGUUACCAUCAGGUUAUGCUGGGGACUCUGUCGAGACUGCCGUCGUAAGAUGUGAGGAAGGUGGGGAUGACGUCAAAUCAGCACGGCCCUUACGUCCGGGGCUACACACGUGUUACAAUGGGGGGUACAGAAGGCAGCUACACGGCGACGUGAUGCUAAUCCCGAAAGCCUCUCUCAGUUCGGAUUGGAGUCUGCAACCCGACUCCAUGAAGCUGGAUUCGCUAGUAAUCGCGCAUCAGCCACGGCGCGGUGAAUACGUUCCCG